AUUGAACGCUGGCGGCAGGCCUAACACAUGCAAGUCGAGCGGUAGAGAGGUGCUUGCAUCUCUUGAGAGCGGCGGACGGGUGAGUAAUGCCUAGGAAUCUGCCUAGUGGUGGGGGAUAACGUUCGGAAACGGACGCUAAUACCGCAUACGUCCUACGGGAGAAAGCGGGGGGAUCUUCGGACCUCGCGCCAUUAGAUGAGCCUAGGUCGGAUUAGCUAGUUGGUGAGGUAAUGGCUCACCAAGGCGACGAUCCGUAACUGGUCUGAGAGGAUGAUCAGUCACACUGGAACUGAGACACGGUCCAGACUCCUACGGGAGGCAGCAGUGGGGAAUAUUGGACAAUAGGGCGAAAGCCUGAUCCAGCCAUGCCGCGUGUGUGAAGAAGGUCUUCGGAUUGUAAAGCACUUAAGUUGGGAGGAAGGGUAGUAACCUAAUACGUUGCUACUUUGACGUUACCGACAGAAUAAGCACCGGCUAACUUCGUG
This 485-nucleotide ribosomal RNA is filed under the name uncultured bacterium. Its description in RNAcentral is "bacterial SSU rRNA". It matches the Rfam family "Bacterial small subunit ribosomal RNA", at positions 30 to 507 of the family's 1533-position model. The record is from RNAcentral.